ACGAACGCUGGCGGCGUGCUUAACACAUGCAAGUCGAACGGAAAGGCCCUGCUUUUGUGGGGUGCUCGAGUGGCGAACGGGUGAGUAACACGUGAGUAACCUGCCCUUGACUUUGGGAUAACUUCAGGAAACUGGGGCUAAUACCGGAUAGGAGCUCCUGCUGCAUGGUGGGGGUUGGAAAGUUUCGGCGGUUGGGGAUGGACUCGCGGCUUAUCAGCUUGUUGGUGGGGUAGUGGCUUACCAAGGCUUUGACGGGUAGCCGGCCUGAGAGGGUGACCGGCCACAUUGGGACUGAGAUACGGCCCAGACUCCUACGGGAGGCAGCAGUGGGGAAUAUUGCACAAUGGGCGGAAGCCUGAUGCAGCAACGCCGCAUGCGGGAUGACGGCCUUCGGGUUGUAAACCGCUUUCGCCUGUGACGAAGCGUGAGUGACGGUAAUGGGUAAAGAAGCACCGGCUAACUACGUG
This 467-nucleotide ribosomal RNA is filed under the name uncultured bacterium. RNAcentral describes it as "partial 16S ribosomal RNA". It matches the Rfam family "Bacterial small subunit ribosomal RNA", at positions 29 to 507 of the family's 1533-position model. The record is from RNAcentral.